GAUGAACUUGGGUUCUGCAACUGGUCACUCCAGUUUCGUGAUGUCUUGCUCUUUCGCUAACCAAGUGAUUUCUCAGCUAGAGUUGUGGAAUGAGAAGAGCUCCGGAAAGUAUGAUUAGAAGGUCCAUGUCUUACCCAAUCACCUCGAUGAGAAGGUUGCUGCACUCCAUCUUGAAAAGCUCGGUGCAAAGCCUACAAAGCUCUCCAAGGACCAAGCUGACUACAUCAGUGUUCAAGUUGAGGGUCUUCAAGAGUUAAAUAAUGUGAAAAACCUCUCUAUCAUUCUGCCUGUAUGCUUUCAUUUUGAAUAUGGACUCAUUGAUGUGGUGGAAGCAAAAUCUGCAAUGCCAGCUAACAUCUGUCAAGAUGUCAUCAAUCUGGCGAUGAUGUGCAGAUCUUAUCUUUCCCAUCUAAUAUGUAUGUACCAGUGUUAUGAUUGUGAGUACAUAUGUAUCUAUAUAAAAAGGAGAAGAGCUGGUAGGACGAAUGAAGGAAAAGGUAAAGAUAGAAAUACCCUUAACCACACAGAUGGCGCUAGACCCAUUUGAUGGAAACACGCUGAAUGUAAGUAAACUAAAAGUCUAGUAUAUCACAUGAUAUUUUAUAAAUUGGAGUAUCUCAAGUAGUCUGACACACAAAGUGCACUUUACUCUUAUAUAUAUAUAUUCAUAGAUAUUUGCGGUUUUCUUAUUGAACUUUGAUUCUAUUCCAUGGAACCUUAAAAUUUUAGGUAGGUUGAUCAAUCACCAUUGUAUCAUAAACCAAUAUAAUGUUCUUUUAAUAUUGAUACUUAGAGAAGGCUGUGGAAAUCAUUUUAGAUUACAUGUUUUUCACAUUAGUUGAAAUUCAGUACAUGCUGGCACAAAACUACAUCUUCACACAUCUUUCACAUUUAGGAAGUUUUUAUAUACCGGUUCUUGUUAUUCAACUUUCGUUAAAGGUAACAAAUAGGUCACUUGUGAGGAACAUUAUUAUAAAAUUAUUAAGCUUUAAGGAACAGUAUUGCAAAAGCUGAAACUCUAGGUGAACAAAUAAUGUUGUAGAACUUAAUUUUGGAGGGACACUUCUCUUAUCUACCUUACUAGAUUACUUAAGGGUUAAAUAUCAAAGUGGUCACUCAAGUGGAGGUCAUAUAUCACUUUGCUUACUAAUCUUAACGGGGUCUCAUUUANAUAUCUAAUCCGGUGUUGUUCGCUAUCAAUGGAUUGGGAUGUUUUAGUGCGGCAUAUAUUAGAUGCCAAAACGACGAACCAACUCAGGUUUUAAACCAAUCAAUCUUUCUUAUUUCGCCUCAUCGUUUUUAAUUAUGUUUUUAUCUUUAUGUAUGUGUUGUAGUGUUGUUAAUUGUUUUAAUACAUUUUCGUCAUUUACAUUCUAAUUGGAGUGCUGUGUGUUCAAAAUUUUAUACACUCCAUCAAGCUGUGACCAAGCUUCUAAUCGAGUGCCGUAGGAUAGUAUCAAUCACAAUAAAUUUAUUUUAUAACCUUAACAUCGAUUUCUCCCUUAAGUAUUUAUGAUCCAAAUCAUGAAUGAUCCUCCGUAUGUUACAGAUUUUGUGGAUCAUUGAUAACCGGAAGUUUUAGAUAAUGAAUUAGAGACUCAGAGUUAAGUAAAACAUGAAAUUUAUACCUGAAAAGUCCAUGGGAUCAGGAAAUUUUUUGAAUGUGAAAAGAAUUAUUUUGGAAUUUGAGUUUGUUUAUAAAUUAUUACAUCUCAUUAUAUAGGAAGUAUGAAGGUAAGCGUAAGUCUACUAUCCAAACUCUUAACAUACUUCAAAAUUUUAUUUAUAUGUUUUCAGCUCUGUUUUUUUAUUUAAUAUUUUUCUUUUUUGCAUUUUUGAUAUAAUAUUUUGAUGAAAUGCUAAUUUGUUUUUUUUUUUCUUCUGAAAUUGCUUGAUUUUGAACUUCGUCAGAAAUUGUGAAUAUUAGAACCCCAGUUUAAGUCUAUGACCCGAACACAUUAGUAUAUGCGUAUAGUUUUGAAAUUAAACUCUGAUACCUUGCAACUUGCAAGGGUGCAAUGAUGCGCACUUUCUGACAUUAUAGUAUGUUAACUUCUGGAGUCUGGACCGCGUCAGUGGUUUAUUGUGACUUCUGGAAUUCUGGACCAUGUCAACAGUUUAUAGUGACCAGCUUAGAUCAAAUAGGUGACUAAAAGUCAUCAUUUUAAACGUUAUAAAUUGCUGAAAUUUAGUGUUUGGUAUUUUGCAUUGCAUUUAUUGGUUGAACACAGGGGUGGCAAUCUCAGACACGACCCGAAACCCGACUCGAACCUGACCCAACCCGAAACCCGAUUUACUGAGACAGAAACCCGAAAGUGACCCGAAAAUCACCCGAUUGACCCGAAAUAGACCCGAAAUGACCCGAAAUUAGAAUUUUAUUUCUAAUAACUUCAAUUUUCAGUUUUAUUCAAUUUUAAGUGAUUUUAACUUAACCCGAAAUCGACCCGAUUGCUGACACGAACACGAUCAUUUGAAAGAUCAUCUUUGAUUCAGAUUGUAACACAAAUUUCUAUUACCAAAAUCACAAUCUGAUAGUGAUUUUGGUAAUAGAAAUUUGUGUUACAAUCUGAAUCAAAGAUGAUCCUUCAAAUGGAUAUCUUAUUUUAAUAUGUGUUCUACUUAUGAAUGAUACAUUAUUCAAACUAGGAAGAAUCCUUCAAACAGAUUUUGUUUAAACUAUUCUUCCGGAUCAUGAAUGAUCCUCAGAUUAAAUUCUUGUUAACUAUUCAUAUAAAUCCUGAAUAAUAAGCUGCAUCUUGUAUAUGUAUAUAUUGAUAGUGACAGAGGGCUCACUUCUAAAUAUCUUAUCUAUAUAUGCUCCGAUGCUCUAUAGAAGUAGGAAAAGAGAGUACUCUGCACUAGUGUUUAAGAGAUUCCAGAGAAUGAAGAGAGAAACUCCGAAAAGAAAGGCUAUCACUUGUACCACCGACAUACUGAUUCGGUCAGAGAGUCCUCCCAUCCCCGCUUGUCUGGCUGCCGAUGAGCUCACUCGACUUCUAACUAGGUCUGUCAUUUUUACACAUCCAACCCUAUUUUAUAAUAAGUAUUGUAUUUUGGGAAAAUUAAUUCAUUUGUUCCUGAACUGUAGGUCGUUAAUGGUUUAGGUCCCUAAACUAAAAACCCAAUUUUUUUUUUUGCCACAACUAAAAACCCAAUUUUUGAUACCUAAAUGUUUAAAAAAUCUGAUUCAAGUCCUUCCGUCAAAAUUUGACUAACGCUUGUUAGUCAUUGCUGACAUGGAAAUUGGAAAAAUAAAAGAAAAAAAAAUUAAAAUACGAGAAAUCAAAACUUCAAGGACUGAAGUGAAAUCUUGAUAUGUUAAUGUACUAGUGAUUUUAAAAAUACGGGUGGUGAAAGUUUUAGAUUUCGAGUUUACUAACAUAUAGAAAUAUCACUUUAAUCUCAAGAUCACGAAGAUAAAAACUUAUUAAAAUGCAGUUUUUUGUAUGCUGGUGAACUCUAAUCAGGAAUUUUCACUAUCCUUGUUCUUGAAAUGACUCAUAAAUGAACAUAUCAAAAUUUUAUUUCAUUCCAUGAAGUUGUGAUUUUUGUGUUUUCAAUUAUUAUUUUCUUUUGUUUUUUCAAUUUCUAUGUCAGUAUUAAGUAACGGCCGUUAGUCAAAUUUUGGCGGAGGGACUUGAAUCAGUUUUUUGGAAAGUUUAGAUAUCGAAGUUGGGUUUUUUUAGUUUAGGGACCUAAACCAUAAACGGCCUAUAGGAAUGAAUUAAUUUUCCUGUGUAUUUUCAGCUGAUAUAAGAUUACAUGUGUAUAUUUAUUGUGUGUGUGUAUAUAUAUGUGUGUACUUUAUGUAAUGGUCGUCUGAUGGAAUAAGCGAGGUGUACUUUGGAAGAAAAAUCACAGAAGUUCAGAGCUUGACAAAGAGGUUUGACAUCUCUCUCCACUGUCCUCCAAUGUGUAUUCUCUUUUAAAUUGGAGUCAUUUUGACAAAUAAAUGGUUUUCUUUAAAACAAAAAAAUACUAACAAUAUUUAUGCAUGUAAAUUGUAAAUGUAAUAGAGUCUAGUCAAUUUUGUAAAUGAAUACAAAUUCAGAAAGUAGUUUUAGGUUUUUGAGUUAUAUAAAUAUUCUAUUAUUAUUUAUUGUUUGGGAAAAUUAAUUUAUUAGUCCAUGACCUAUAUGUCGUUUAUGGUUUAGGACUCUGAACUAAAUAAGACCAAAUUUUUUUAUACCUAAACUUUUAGAAAAUCCGAUUCAGGUCCCUUUAUUAAAAUUUGACUAACUGCAGUUGUUCAAUGCUGACGUGGAAAUUGAAAAAAUAAAAGAAAAAAAUAAUUAAAAAUACCAAAAAUCAAAACUUCAGAGAUUGAAAUGAAAUUUUGAUAUGUUAUUCUACAAGUGAUUUCAAAACAAUGGUUGGUGAAAGUUUUUGAUUUCGAGUUCACUAACAUAUAGAAAUAUGCACUUUAAUCUCGAGAACACGUAGUUAUCAAGGCUUAUUAAUCUCAAUGAGGGGAGGAAGAGAAAUAAAGUCACUCAUUCUUCUAGCCCCUAUUUCUAUCACUCCAUUUUCAUGUCAUAUUGUCCACAGAUCCGGACCUUAUUCAAGAAUUCUGCAUACCAGACACCACAUCAAAUGUCACCCAAACAACAAGGUCUGGUAUGAUCCCAUGCGAAAAUCUGGUAGAUGUUAUCCCCGAAGAUUUUAUCUUCUCAGGUAUAGAACAUCCUGGAAAUUUAUCAGGCACUGGACUAUCAGCAAUAUCCGUGAGUCCACAAACUUUUCCAGGCCUCAACACCCAAGGCAUGUCUUUGUUGCGUGCUGAUCACCAUAAAGCCCCAAACUGAUAGGUGGGUAUUCCCCGAUACUGGUGAAGGCAUCAUUAUCCUGGCUGAAGGACGUUUGAUGAACUUGGGUUCUGCAACUGGUCACUCCAGUUUCGUGAUGUCUUGCUCUUUCGCUAACCAAGUGAUUUCUCAGCUAGAGUUGUGGAAUGAGAAGAGCUCCGGAAAGUAUGAUUAGAAGGUCCAUGUCUUACCCAAUCACCUCGAUGAGAAGGUUGCUGCACUCCAUCUUGAAAAGCUCGGUGCAAAGCCUACAAAGCUCUCCAAGGACCAAGCUGACUACAUCAGUGUUCAAGUUGAGGGUCUUCAAGAGUUAAAUAAUGUGAAAAACCUCUCUAUCAUUCUGCCUGUAUGCUUUCAUUUUGAAUAUGGACUCAUUGAUGUGGUGGAAGCAAAAUCUGCAAUGCCAGC
RNAcentral lists this long non-coding RNA (5213 nucleotides) under Daucus carota (carrot). RNAcentral's name for it is "long non-coding RNA (DCAR_LNC001242)". The record is from RNAcentral. Lineage: Eukaryota; Viridiplantae; Streptophyta; Magnoliopsida; Apiales; Apiaceae.